GUGCGUCUUCAGGGCGGGGUGAAAUUCCCCACCGGCGGUAUGCCGGCAACGCGAGAGCGUGAGCCGGCGAGCCCGCGAGCGCCCGCAGUAGUCUGGCUUUCACGGAACCGGAAGCCGCCGCGGGGUCAGCAGAUCUGGUGAGAAGCCAGAGCCGACGGUCACAGUCCGGAUGGAAGAAGAUGUGC
Molecule: non-coding RNA, 185 nt
Filed under: Burkholderia sp.
Lineage: Bacteria; Pseudomonadati; Pseudomonadota; Betaproteobacteria; Burkholderiales; Burkholderiaceae
Description: FMN sequence
Rfam family: FMN riboswitch aptamer (RFN element)
About the family: The RFN element is a highly conserved domain that is found frequently in the 5'-untranslated regions of prokaryotic mRNAs that encode for flavin mononucleotide (FMN) biosynthesis and transport proteins. This element is a metabolite-dependent riboswitch that directly binds FMN in the absence of proteins. In Bacillus subtilis, the riboswitch most likely controls gene expression by causing premature transcription termination within the 5' untranslated region of the ribDEAHT operon and precluding access to the ribosome-binding site of ypaA mRNA.
Source: RNAcentral